Molecule: long non-coding RNA, 1658 nt
Organism: Salvia hispanica
Lineage: Eukaryota; Viridiplantae; Streptophyta; Magnoliopsida; Lamiales; Lamiaceae
Source: RefSeq, a predicted model, not a curated record
CUACCAAAGUUUUGCUAGCACAAGUGUAUGCUAGCAACUUAUGAAAUUUUCCUGCACAAAAUGAAAACAGAUCAAAAUAUUUUUUUGCGAGCACCCCAACCGUCGUGGCAUAUAUGCUAGCAAAUGGUGCUCGAAACAAUACUACUAGUCGAAUUUUCUUCAAGUGCUCGCAAAAUUCUUUUGCUGCUAGUAACAACCCCUUAAUUCUUUUCUUGCCUCGAUUUGCGAGCUCGCGGAAAAACUUAGUUCCCGCUUAUUUUGAAUCAGUUCUCGGCGCUGUUAUCACAAAACCCCUAAUUCUCAAUUUUCUCUGAUCAAUCCUUCCUUGCUCUGCCAACCGCCACCGUUCAAUUCAAGCUGCUCCGCCACAAAUCCUCCGCCACCAGCCAGUUUCUCUCUCAAAUUGAGGAACAUUCUCUACAAAGUGCCUUCAUCGUCAAGCUACACGAGUAUUUACUUACAAUUGCAUUUAGGGAUUUUAAAUUUGCUAAAACAAUGAAUGACUAUUUUCCUAAUCGGCGUUGUUUUUUAAUCUUACACUGCAUUAUGUUUAAUUUGUGAUUCUCAUUUAUUCGAUCGUGUAUCCUUCUCCUGCUAUUAAUAACAUUAGGAAAUUUGUUUAGUAGCAAAUAAAAUCCGUUGUGUGUAGUGUUGAUUGUUGUGCGUGUGCUAAAAUGAAACCGCUUCCGUAGAUUUCUUAGAAAUUCAGUUGAUUUUUCGUUGAUUGAUUUUUCGUAGCUGCAACCACCAUAUUGUUUCACUGUGGCUCAGAUGGAAAAUGCAUCUUAUAGAGGAAAUUUAGGCAUCUUAAGAACUUCUCACAAACCUGUUUGAGAUUCUGUUUUUUCUUUCUACAAAAGCAGGAUAGAACGUAGUGAAUUGUAUCUGUCAAAUUUCUGACUGCUACUUUGCUCAAUGUGGUAAGGUGUACUGUUCUUAUCUCUAUCAUUUGAUUAUAUUUUAUAAGCCUGUAGCAAGGGAGAGCAUUCAACUGCUUUAGCAACUGCUACUGAUGCUACAAUACAGGAGCUGGAGAUAAAUAAUGAGAGAGAUUGUGGGGACUCUCUCUUCCCAUUUCUCUCAAGCAGGGAGAAGAGCUCAGAAAGCAAAUUACCGCAGUUACCUUAUAUCUAGUGAAGACGCAACAGGAGCAAGUUAUGACGAAGGCGUAUGGUUUACGGGCUAAUGGGGUAGAAGACCCAAAUUAUGAUGUCUUUUACGUUGAGUUUUUUGGGAAGAUAAAGAAGAGAGUAAAUUACUGUAGCCGGUCAGGCAACGAGCAUUUACUGGUCGCAGUUUUCGAGUAUGCAUGUAGCGAGCAGAAAGGUGCUCGCAAUGGUCUUGUGCUCGCAAAAAGCGGUUGCAACUUUGCUACAAGCCUCAUACAGAGCACCUAUGGUGCUCGCAAAUGUGCUAGCAAAUUGGGUUUUGCGAGCAAAUGCAUACUCUUUUUGCGAGCAAAUGGGUGCUCGCAAACGAACGUCUUUUCUGUAAUGGUAUUUUAAUCCUUUUAGUUCAUUUGUCUAUUUUUUUUAUUUAUAUAGAUAUAGCUUUUUGAAUUGGGAGGCUAUCACCAAUUUUAUACGUACAUAUACAUACAAAGCCAUGUAAUACAUUAUAUUAUUUUAAUUUUGAAGCUUAACUACAUAUAUUACAUA